CAGCCGCCACGGGAAUACAGAGGGUGCGAGCGUUAAUCGGAUUUACUGGGCGUAAAGCGUGCGUAGGCGGCUUCUUAAGUCGGAUGUGAAAUCCCUGAGCUUAACUUAGGAAUUGCAUUCGAUACUGGGAAGCUAGAGUAUGGGAGAGGAUGGUAGAAUUCCAGGUGUAGCGGUGAAAUGCGUAGAGAUCUGGAGGAAUACCGAUGGCGAAGGCGACUAUCUGGGCCAACACUGACACUGAGGCACGAAAGCGUGGGGAGCAAACAGGAUUAGAUACCCGUGUAGUCCCUGUCUCUUAUAA
RNAcentral lists this ribosomal RNA (301 nucleotides) under uncultured bacterium. Its description in RNAcentral is "partial 16S ribosomal RNA". It matches the Rfam family "Bacterial small subunit ribosomal RNA", at positions 509 to 809 of the family's 1533-position model. The record is from RNAcentral.